GGAACACGAGCCAAGUCAGACGGGCGACAUGUCCACUCCAGGCGGAACUACCACCCGUCGGGUUAGGGGUUCGAGUCCCCUGGGCUCCACCA
Molecule: transfer RNA, 92 nt
Filed under: Micromonospora sp. STR1s_5
Lineage: Bacteria; Bacillati; Actinomycetota; Actinomycetes; Micromonosporales; Micromonosporaceae
Description: tRNA-Trp
Source: RNAcentral